GAUGAACGCUGGCGGCGUGCCUAAUACAUGCAAGUCGAGCGAACAGACGAGGAGCUUGCUCCUCUGACGUUAGCCGCGGACGGGUGAGUAACACGUGGAUAACCUACCUAUAAGACUGGGAUAACUUCGGGAAACCGGAGCUAAUACCGGAUAAUAUAUUGAACCGCAUGGUUCAAUAGUGAAAGACGGUGUUGCUGUCACGUAUAGAUGGAUCUGCGCCGCAUUAGCUAGUUGUUAAGGUAACGGCUUACCACGGCAACGAUGCGUAGGCGACCUGAGAGGGUGAUCGGCCACCCUGGAACUGAACCACCGUCCAGACUCCUGCGAGAGGCAGCAGUAGGGAAUCUUCCGCAGUGGGCGAAAGCCUGACGGAGCAACGCCGCGUGAGUGAUGACGGUCUUCGGAUCGUAAAACUCUGUUAUUAGGGAAGAACAAAUGUGUAAGUAACUAUGCACGUCUUGACGGUACCUAAUCAGAAAGCAACGGCUAACUACGUG
Molecule: ribosomal RNA, 497 nt
Filed under: uncultured bacterium
Lineage: Bacteria
Description: partial 16S ribosomal RNA
Rfam family: Bacterial small subunit ribosomal RNA
Source: RNAcentral